Molecule: long non-coding RNA, 689 nt
Filed under: Oryza sativa (Asian cultivated rice)
Lineage: Eukaryota; Viridiplantae; Streptophyta; Magnoliopsida; Poales; Poaceae
Description: long non-coding RNA (OSAT_LNC001354)
Source: RNAcentral
CACGGGUGAGAAGGGCUGCGUCUCGAUCUUCACCUUCUCCCGCUCCACGGUCAGCUUCCCUUCCUUGGUGGUGAGCCGGAACAGCUCGUCCUCGGUGGCGUCCACGCACACGCCGUUGAUGUCGCAGAUCUCCCCCUUGGGCGACAUGGGGAGCAGCGUCUGGAUGAUGGGGUCGGAGCGGACGAGGGAGACGAACUUGGAGUAGAGGAGCUCCACCUUGUCCACCGCCUCGGACACGAACAGCGAGUAGACGAGGUCGCAGAUGGACUGGGAGUCCUUCACGGUGGGGAUGCCGUUCACCUCCAGCGUCCGCUCGGUGGGGAUGAAGGGGCGGCGGAUGAAGUAGGCGUUGCCCUUCUUGCCGACGCUGACGACGGUGUACUCGAGGCCGAGCUGCUUGAGCUCCUCGAUGCGGGUCUCGGCCUUCUUGAGGACGUUGUUGUUGAAGCUGCCGCAGAGGCCGCGCUCGCCGGUGAGGACGACGAGGGCGACCUUCUUGACGGGGCGGAUGCGGGUGAGGGGGAGGUCGAUGUCCUCCGUCUGGAUCUCCUGGUUCAUGUUGUAGAGCACCUCCACCAGCGCCUCCGAGAAGGGGCGGGAGGACACCACCGCCUCCUGCGCCCGCCGCACCUUGGCCGCCGCCACCAGCUUCAUCGCCUCCGUGAUCUUCUGCGUGUUGCGCACCGAGU